GCGAGGGGGAUACAAUGUUGCGAUAGACAUACACCGGCUGCGAGGAGUGGUAGGUCGUGACUCUUAGGAAGAGUUGCACCAUCACUUUCUAAAGUUUAACCUUGUUGUUUCACAACAUAGGCCAGCCUACACGUUAAAAAUCAAUGAAUUCUCAAUACGAGUCGGGACUACAAGCAACCCCUUCAACUGUAGCCUAAUGAUAAAAACAUGGAUACUUUGAGGUUGGGCGAAAAAUAUGAACAACUGUUACCUUGGCCGUGGAAGACAAAGGGGGUCCGCUCUUCAAAACAGAACAAUGCUCCUUCCCCUCGGUUGCCACAGCAUCGGACUCCCUGUUUCCCAUGCAGCCGGGUCGCAAACCAGGAAGGAAAAGGAAGAAAACACUUUGUCCGCAUAGCUGGUUCCUGUUGGCGGUGAGGGAGAGGUUGAGCAAUCCCCCGGGCCAUUGCGUAAGCUGCCCCCCUUCACUUUCAGGUGCAAGCGAGUGAGUCUGUCGGUGUGGCUGAAAGUCAAUCCUCUUCUAGGAAUGUGAUACGUAUCAGAGGAGUGGGACUGAGGUAAUGCCAUGCAAAUACUGCUCCAGCCCCACUGGCUACACAGACAGGCAGCACAGCACAGGGGAGGUUGCGCAAGACCCAAUGCCUGCUGUACAGUGGCAGACAAGCUCACAUAGGGGAGAGAGGUAGACCGAGAGAGGGAGAAAGGUAGACAGAGAGACAGAGGGAGGGUCAGGGGAAGACAGAGAGAGAGAGAGAGAGUGAGAGAGAGAGAGAAUACAAAAUAAGAGGCAGAGACAAAGGUGAAGAUAGAAGGUAUAGGGAGGAAGAGUAAAAAUAAGCAGUGAAAGAGAAAGCAAGAGAUUGACAGCCAGUGAAGCAGACAGUGUGUGACUGAGAAGCAGCUAGGGACAUAAUAAAACAAUGAAAAAGUAAGAGAGAGUAGAGGCUGAGAAAUUGGUGAGAAGCAUGAUUGACCGACAGAAAUCAGAGAGCCAAGAGAGAGAAAGUAAAAACAAUGAGAAGUAGACAAGCAACAGGUUGAGGGAGAGAGAAGGGUAGGCACAGAAAGUGAGGGAAAAAUACUCACUGAGAAAGAGAAUGGAAGGCAGAGAAAGUGAUGAAAAGAGACGUGAGAGAGAGAAACCAGCCACAUUGUUCAGACUACUACUACUACUACACACCAGGCACCUCUAGUAAUACUGAUCCCCGUACUGGCGCUGAGUUUUUUUCACUCAGGAUUUCUCUUUCGCCUUACCUCCGUGUGAGAGUCUGUUUUACGACCUUGCCACGGUUAAUGCUUGUGUGUGUGUAUAAGAUCCUGGGUAUGACACAACAGCCCAGACAGGGCUGUCUACAUACUUUACAGUGUACACCAUCAAAUGUAAUGCCAGGCAAUAACAGUGUUUCCCAUUGCAACAGAUGGAGCCGAGCGAGACUGAAUGCUAUCAUGCUUUAGCGAGUUGCAAUCAGUGUGAAACGAUGACCAACACUUAUGCCCGAUGUCCAGCAGAUGCAUAUGCGUUUUGUUUUGCCGGAUGUCUAGCCCGUAUUUUCCGUACAUGACGCACAUGUGCUUCGCUUUUCAACUAGCUAAACGCUAGCUAGUUGGAGUCUGUGUGUGUACUUCCAUUUGUCCCACCGCGCGGUUAACCUGUUAUGGAUAGGGGGCAGUAUU
Salmo salar (Atlantic salmon) is the source of this 1674-nucleotide long non-coding RNA. RefSeq lists it as uncharacterized. The record is from RefSeq and is a predicted model, not a curated record. Lineage: Eukaryota; Metazoa; Chordata; Actinopteri; Salmoniformes; Salmonidae.